UGAGGACAGGGCAAAUUCACGA
RNAcentral lists this microRNA (22 nucleotides) under Homo sapiens (human). RNAcentral's name for it is "hsa-miR-5004-5p". The record is from miRBase by way of RNAcentral. Lineage: Eukaryota; Metazoa; Chordata; Mammalia; Primates; Hominidae.